GCCUUCGUGGUGUAAUGGUCAGCACACUCGGCGCGUAUUCGAGAAGUCCGAGGUUCGAAUCCCGGCGAAGGCA
RNAcentral lists this transfer RNA (73 nucleotides) under Stegodyphus mimosarum. It matches the Rfam family "tRNA". Rfam says of the family: Transfer RNA (tRNA) molecules are approximately 80 nucleotides in length. Lineage: Eukaryota; Metazoa; Arthropoda; Arachnida; Araneae; Eresidae. The record is from Rfam by way of RNAcentral.